Molecule: small nuclear RNA, 177 nt
Filed under: Dipodomys ordii (Ord's kangaroo rat)
Lineage: Eukaryota; Metazoa; Chordata; Mammalia; Rodentia; Heteromyidae
Description: U2 spliceosomal RNA
Rfam family: U2 spliceosomal RNA
About the family: U2 is a small nuclear RNA (snRNA) component of the spliceosome (involved in pre-mRNA splicing). Complementary binding between U2 snRNA (in an area lying towards the 5' end but 3' to hairpin I) and the branchpoint sequence (BPS) of the intron results the bulging out of an unpaired adenosine, on the BPS, which initiates a nucleophilic attack at the intronic 5' splice site, thus starting the first of two transesterification reactions that mediate splicing.
Source: Rfam by way of RNAcentral
AUCAUUUCUUAUUCUGUUUGACUAAGAUCAAGUACAGUAUUUGUUGUUAUCAGUUUCAUAUCUGAUGUGUCCACUAUCUGAGGACAAUAUAUCACAUUAAGAUGGUAUUAGAGCUGGCUCCGUCCAUUCCACACAUAAAGUAGGUACUGCAGUACUUCUGGGAAUAGUGAACCAAAA